Molecule: non-coding RNA, 3937 nt
Organism: Cinara cedri
Lineage: Eukaryota; Metazoa; Arthropoda; Insecta; Hemiptera; Aphididae
Source: the annotation of a GenBank genome assembly
CGGCUACGUUCAUAAUAAUAAUAAUAAUAAUAAUAAUAAUAAUAAUAAUGAAUAGCAUGAUAAUGCGUAUAUAAUUUUUUUUUUUUUUUUUUUUUUAUUCUUCUAUCUAAGUAAUAUAUAAUAUCGUAUUGUAUUUUAUCGGCAACGUGUUAUUACACGAGUGCCGUGUAUCAUUUUAACACACCCGUCGAUUACCUAUAUCGUUUAAUACAAUAUUGUAUAGUUUUAUAAAUUCUCAAUAAUAAUUGUAAUGUAUAUAAAUAUAUAUAUAGACGUUAUAAUUAUAAUAAAAUAUCGUUCUCUUACAGAUAAAUUACACGACCACAUAUGGUUAUAAUUUGCUAACGGUACUAAUUUAUUAAUAGUAAUAUAUAUAUAUAUAUGUAUGCAUAUGAAUAUAGUAAAUAUAUAAAGUUUCGUAUGAUAAUUCCUUAGUUUGCGCAGUUUGGUGUCUUUAUAAUAAAUAAUCGUGUGGAUGCGACACGGCCAGUACGGUUUGAAACGAGAAAACAAUUAUGAUUUUAGUCUACUACAUAAUGUAACACAAUAUCAAACUAAGUGAAAAAAAAUAUACGAUUUUCUUCAAAAAUAUUACUGCAGUGUAAACAUGUUUACCGAUUGCGGAGUAAUAAAAAAAAAAAAUCGAAUCAUAAACUAAAAAACUACUCGUAUUAUAAAAAAAUAAAUAAACAACAGGUAUACACACGAUGUGAAAGUCUUUAAAUUUCGAAUAAAAUACAUUAUGUUGUGGGAUAUAGGCACGUAUAAAUUAUAAUAUAAUGUAGACACGUUACACGGUUAACUAUACAACAAUAUAUAAUACGAAUAUUUAGUUACAUUAAUUUUAAAAUAAGUAAUUAUACCUAUGCACGUUCAAUGACAUUAUUUUUAAAAUGCAACGAAUUACACUAAUAAAUUAUUGUAACAAAUACAAGUAUUUGUUCAACCCGUUUUCAUUCUUUAAAACUAUACAGGUAAUAAUAGUAAUAGACACGUUAAUAUAAUAUGUAUAACAUUAAACAUUAAAAAACAAAAACAAACAAAUAAAACGACCAUACCAAGACAUAUUAUACAAUUAUACUUCACUGCGUUAUUCAAGAGGACUCUUAACACUCGCAAACGCACGUCACAUGCGUUCAGCGGGGACAACUUUGUGCCGUUAGUUUUUAUAUUAUUACAGUGAAUCGACCUAUUGUUAAACUCGAAAACAAAAAUCGCAUUGUCAACGCCAAAGUCGGUGCUGCCAUUCCGAUAUUCUGAUAGGCAAGUGAGAUAAUAUAAGCGUUAUUAUAGAUUAUGACAUUUCACGCAAUCGUAUCUCGCUUGAAAAUUCAAAUAUCGAAAAAAUAAUACUACCGUGUCAUACAGAUAAUGUUUUUGUUGAUCUUCAAGUUUGAUAAAGGAUCGAUUCGUUGUGUGCCGUUAAAACUAACAGCGCAAAGUUGCAGGGCUGCUGAACCCGAUUUCGCGUUUGUAAGACGCGUUUUGCGUCUUAAUGCAAAUAUUUUCACGUACGAAAGAAAAAAAUCAUAAAAAAAAAACCCUACUAUUUGGGGGUGACAAUUAUUGUUAUAUAUAUGUAUUUUUUUUUUUUUUUUUUAACGCGUUUCACUAAACUAUACAAUAAUAUUAUGUAUUCGAUAAUUUUUAGGCGUAUAAAAAUUUAACAUACCUUAAUAUUAUAUUAAUAAUAAUUUAAUUAAGUUUUAUUAAUUUCUUGCAUAUUGUAUCCGUACAAUAUUAUUAUUUGACGGCGAUAUAUUUUUUUUUUUUUUAAACGAUUUUACACAGUAAAUUAUAUUAUUAAUAAAGCCGUACGUACUCGUAUAGGUUACGCUUAUGAUUAUGUACAGCAUUCUACUAUACACAUGCGUAUAUAUUUUCUCGGGUUCAUAUUAUAUUUAAAAACACUAUUACGCGGAAAGUUAGCAACGUGAAUAUUAUAGGACUGUAAAACUUUAACAUUCGAAGCGCGGGGGCGCGCGCGCGCGCGUGUGCGUGUGUGUGUGUGUGUGUGUGUGCGCGCGCGGGUGUGUGUGAUCCUAUAUUACAGUAAACGGGUAUAGGACGGUUUUAGUUUUUAAUGCGUAAAAUGCAAAGACCAAACAAAUUGUAUUAGCUACCGAUAAAUAAUUAAUCUAUAACCGCGGGCGAACGUCCGUAAGUAUAAUAUAGUGUUUUUUUUUUUUUUUUUUUUUUUUUUUCAAAUAUUUCAACCGCUAAUCGUGCCGUGUCUACUGUACAAACAUAUUGUAAUAUUGCCCUGUCGUUUCGAUCGUGGACCCGAUACAAACAUAUUAUAUUUCGGCGUUUGACGUUCGACCUGCAGCAGUGAAAUGCGCUCAGUAUUUUCUUUUGAAACUCUCUCUCUCUCUCUUUCUAUAUAUAUACCUAAUGUAGUACACGGGCGCUGCUCUAUAGGAGAUUUCAAUAUUGCCCGCCGUCAUUUUCGACAAGGCCGGGCGUCGUCGUAACGAGUUAGAAAGUUCAAAGUUAAGUCGAUAUGUUAUUAAAUUCCUUUUUGAUUUUAACGCAAUAUUGAAUACGCAAUUUGUUCCGUCGUAUAAACGUGUAUUGUGUACGUUUUUCUUUUAAUCGAUAGCGGUGCGCGCGAAGUUUGAAAUACACGUAUAGUUCGAUAUUUCCGGAACAAACCCUCCGGGCGCGUUCAAUAUAUAAUAUCGAUAGUCUUUUCUUUUUUUUUUUCAAACCUUAUUCCGAACUCCAAAUCCCAUCGUUUUCUCGGUGACCAUAGUAGUUUUACCGAAAAAAAAAAAAAAAAUUCGUCUCCUCGACGUAAUGUAUUUUAAUAAGUCGAUUACCCAUGUUUUCAAAUCGACUUUUAACUCGAUCAUUAAAUUCGAAAGUAUCAACUUUCAACGUGUGUUAACUCGUUUAUAAUUUUUUUUUUUUUUUUUUUUAACCGUCUCGAACCUAACCGGGUAAAUAUUAUUCAUUAACUUGCCCAGCCUUGACUUCUAUAUGCGUACACGACAUACUGAAAUAUCGAUAAACACCGUAGUUUUUAUCAAUGUCAAAAACACAUCGCACGGGAAAACGUAAAAUAAUAUAAAUUACAAAGUGCCCCCGUGGACUAUAAUACACACUAUAUAGUUAUAUUAUUAUUUAUAAACUAAGUAUCAACUUUCAACGUGUGUUAACUCGUUUAUAAUUUUUUUUUUUUUUUUUUUUUUCAAAAUUAGUAUAAAUAUCGUUUGAAUAAUAUCGUGGACCCGCAGACUCGCCGUGUAAUUCAUCGGAAAUUAUAUUAUCGACGUUUAUUAUAACGUGACGUUACUUGAAGGCCGUGCCGUUGCCCCGUCAAUCCGGGGAGGUGGGUAGGACAAUGUCGGGCACAAGGAGAGUAAUUUUUUAACCCGCGGGGGCGUUAAUCCAACAUCGCGCCACUCGUCCCCCGCAACGGCUACCCGGCUUAAAACAAAAAACCGGUCCGACUUUGCCGGUACUCUGCCGGACUUUGCGUCGUUUUCUUCGUCCCGAUUUUUUUAUUUUUUUUUUUACUGGACCCCGCCGAAUAAUAUUACCACGCUCGACGAACGUUUUUUCUAAAGGUUAAUGCGAAAUAAACGAGCGGCGGGGAAAAAAAAAAAGUAAUACAUCAAAUUUAGUUUCGCCGGCCGACCGUCAUCGACCCCGUAGAAUGUUUAUGCGGUUUCGAAUCUGUUGUUGAGUGUACCACAAUAUUAUACAAUAUAUAUUCAUACGUAGGUAUUUAUCUCGGUUUCCCGUAAAUUUUACGAAAACGCGAAACGUGUACGAGCGUAACGCGUAUGCAGACAACAUAGAUUUUACCGUAAAGUUAUAAUGUACAAUAUGAUAAUAACGCGUGCAUCGCACAUAGCCGUCGGAACUUUUUAAAUUUCAAUUGGAAUAAAAAAAAAAAAAAAACGACAAUAAUACAGUCGGAGGAAUGAAA